Molecule: ribosomal RNA, 487 nt
Filed under: uncultured bacterium
Lineage: Bacteria
Description: partial 16S ribosomal RNA
Rfam family: Bacterial small subunit ribosomal RNA
Source: RNAcentral
GAUGAACGCUAGCGAUAGGCUUAACACAUGCAAGUCGAGGGGCAGCACAAGGUAGCUUGCUAUCUGGGUGGCGACCGGCGCACGGGUGCGUAACGCGUAUGCAACUUGCCCUAUACAGGAGGAUAACCCGUCGAAAGACGGACUAAUACUGCGUAUGCUCACAACUUGGCAUCAAGUGGUGAGGAAAGAAAUUCGGUAUAGGAUAGGCAUGCGUCCCAUUAGCUUGUUGGUGAGGUAACGGCUCACCAAGGCAACGAUGGGUAGGGGAACUGAGAGGUUUAUCCACCACACUGGUACUGAGACACGGACCAGACUCCUACGGGAGGCAGCAGUGAGGAAUAUUGGUCAAUGGGCGCGAGCCUGAACCAGCCAAGUCGCGUGAAGGAUGACUGUCUUAUGGAUUGUAAACUUCUUUUAUACGGGAAUAACAAGAGUCACGUGUGACUCACUGCAUGUACCGUAUGAAUAAGCAUCGGCUAACUCCGUG